UGAUCUUUACCAUUAAUAUUAUAUGUGAGAGAAAAAUAAAAAGGAGAAAGGACGGAAGGUCUCGAAUAACGAUUUAAGCGGUAUUAUUAAUUGCUUGCUGGUGGGUGGUUUGGGAGACUAGAAAUGGAAUCAUUUUUGCGAAGACCCAGGCCGACCCGAUCCGUGGGACUCAUAAGAUCAAACACCUGAUAGCUCAGUGGGGCAUUCCUGAUCCGUAGAGCUAUAGUUAGACCUCGUAGUCAGUAUAGAGUUAUCAAUUGUACUUUGCAAACAACAUCCGUUCUCCUGUUUUUUCCUUUUCGUCUCCGUCAACCUUGAGGCCUUGAUGCCUCACCCAUGUUGUUUAAUUCACCUUCUAUAUGAAUGAAGCGGGUAGCAUGCUAUCUUUUUCUCAAAAAAAAAAAAAA
Molecule: long non-coding RNA, 407 nt
Filed under: Ananas comosus (pineapple)
Lineage: Eukaryota; Viridiplantae; Streptophyta; Magnoliopsida; Poales; Bromeliaceae
Description: long non-coding RNA (ACOM_LNC004173)
Source: RNAcentral